Lycium barbarum (goji berry) is the source of this 776-nucleotide long non-coding RNA. RefSeq lists it as uncharacterized. The record is from RefSeq and is a predicted model, not a curated record. The transcript is spliced from 3 exons. Lineage: Eukaryota; Viridiplantae; Streptophyta; Magnoliopsida; Solanales; Solanaceae.
UGCACGUUUCCAGUAGGUAAGGAUUACAUAUGUUCAUCUUUGUUCUUAUAUGGGAAAAUUUCCCAAAAAUAAAAAAAUGGCAGCAACGUAUAAGACAUAGGGAAAUAUCUAUCUAUAUAUAUUCCCUUCUCAACGAGAAGGAAGGGGAAGCAAUGAGAAUGGAAGCAACAAUGAAAAAAUAAUAAUAAUAGGCAGCAACGUUGUUGCGUUUAUUUUGAAGGUGAUAUCCGUAGCUGUAGCAGCAAUGUAAUAUUCCCUAUAUACUACAACCUGUAGAGUUCAAGAAGAUCAAAGUCUCAUUAUAUUCGGGUUUUAUUCACCAUUUCGAUCUCGUUAUUCCGUUUUAUCGCGUUGUUGAAUUCGGGCUUUCUUCGAAGUGAAGUAAUGUUGAAGAAGAGUAUUUCUUGGAAUAUAAGAUUGGUGAAGCCCGAGACCUAAGUUAUGGUUAACUUGAGAAGCGACAAGAUACAGAUAGUCGGUUUGGUGACCCUUCAGCAUAGGACUUGUACUCAGCUGUCUUGGAGAUCUCCGUUGUUCCGGAGUCUAGACUUUUGAUUCAGAUCUUAUGAUAUAUAUGUAUAUGUUUACUCAGGGGCACAGCGGGGCCCUGUUCCGUCAUAUUUCGCUAUCGAUACUCUUAGAGGUCUGUAGACAUAUGGGUGGGUUGUGUAUAAGUUCUGUUCGGCUGUGUCUAUACGAUGUGCUAUAAUAUGAUGUCUCUCUGUAGUGGCAGCCUUGUCGGCUUGCAUAUGACAUGAUAUUGAUGUGUAGUGGCA